RNAcentral lists this ribosomal RNA (775 nucleotides) under uncultured Neocallimastigales. RNAcentral's name for it is "partial large subunit ribosomal RNA". It matches the Rfam family "Eukaryotic large subunit ribosomal RNA", at positions 24 to 637 of the family's 3401-position model. The record is from RNAcentral. Lineage: Eukaryota; Fungi; Neocallimastigomycota; Neocallimastigomycetes; Neocallimastigales.
GUAGUCUCGCACAGAUGCAUAUCAAUAAGCGGAGGAAAAGAAACUAACUAGGAUUCCCUCAGUAACGGCGAGCGAAGCGGGAAGAGCUCAAAUUUGAAAUCUUAAAGGGUUUCCCUUUACGAAUUGUAGUUUAAAGAAGUGUUUUCUGUUGAGGUUUUGGUAAAAGUUCUUUGGAAUAGGACAUCAUAGAGGGUGAGAAUCCCGUAUUUGACCUUUACUUUCAACUUUGUGAUACACUUUCAAAGAGUCGGAUUGUUUGGGAAUGCAGGUCCAAAAUGGGUGGUAAAUUUCAUCUAAAGCUAAAUAUUGGCGAGAGACCGAUAGCGAACAAGUACCGUGAGGGAAAGAUGAAAAGAACUUUGAAAAGAGAGUUAAACAGUACGUGAAAUUGUCAAAAGGGAAGCGUUUGACACCAGUGUUGUUUUUCUGAAAAUCAAUUAAAGAACUGUUUAUGCUAAGUUGUUUAGACUUUAUCAGCUAACUGUUUAGUUUUGAGCUUUUCUUUAAUGCACUUUUCAGUUAACAAGUCAACAUCAAUUUCUUUUGCUGUAAAAAAGCUUGAGGAAGGUGGCUUGAGAUUCGUCUUAAGUGUUUAUAGCCUCUUGCCUAUGCAGUCGGAGAGAUUGAGGUCUGCAGCGUAGAUCCUUCGGGGCUAAAUGCAUUUGUGCUAAGUUAUAGCAUUUUAUAGACAACUUGUUGACUAUGAUUUGUCUUGUAGCUUACUCGCUUAUGUUAUUUUACCUACGCUUAGGAUGUUGACAGCAGUAUAGACUGU